UUUUCCUCCUGCCGGCGAGCGCUGCGGGGGAGGAGCCAGCCAGGAGCCCAGACUACGUUUCCAAAAGUGCGCUGCUUUGGACAUCCAGCGCUCUGGGCACCGGUGGGGCGAGUUUGGGGCCCCCGCAGAAGCCCGCCCCAAGGAGGAGCCCUGGGGGCAGGCCCUCCUCCGGGACACCGAGGAAACACUGAAGGUUCUUUAUUAAAAAAAAAAAGAAAAGAAAGAAUGUACAGUGCUGCAGCUGUUUUGAGAAACAAUUGGGCCGUUCUCACAAUAUUAGUUACCAUAUAGCCAACAAUUCCAAAGAAAUGAAAACACUCCUUCACAUGAAAACUUGUACAGCGAUGUUCUAUCCUAGAAGCAUUAUUCAUAAUAGUCAAAAAGUGGAAACCACCCAAAUGUCCAUCAGUGGAUGAAUGGAUCAGAUAAACGUGAUGGACUUCUCUCCUGGCCACUGAUGCGCGUGGCGCUUGACAGCUCCCCAGCUUUGCCAUCCUUCGGGGCUUGGGAAGAGCAGCAACUUCAGCAGUUCCUCCAGGUGCCUGCAGGGCAGCUCAGUUCCCAGCCAACCAAAGUGCUAAGAUGAUCUACACUCAAGUGCCAAUAAGAAAUGUAACUGUAGGGGCGCCUGGGUGGCUCAGUCAGUUAAGCGUCUGCCUUCGGCUCAGG
Callorhinus ursinus (northern fur seal) is the source of this 669-nucleotide non-coding RNA. The record is from RefSeq and is a predicted model, not a curated record. NCBI's taxonomy places the organism in Eukaryota, Metazoa, Chordata, Mammalia, Carnivora, Otariidae.